AUGAACGCUGGCGGCGUGCCUAAUACAUGCAAGUCGCGCGAACAGACGAGGAGCUUGCUCCUCUGACGUUAGCGGCGGACGGGUGAGUAACACGUGGAUAACCUACCUAUAAGACUGGGAUAACUUCGGGAAACCGGAUCUAAUACCGGAUAAUAUAUUUAACCGCAUGGUUCAAUAGUGAAAGACGGUUUUGCUGUCACUUAUAGAUUGAUCCGCGCCGCAUUAGCUAGUUGGUAAGGUAACGGCUUACCAAGGCAACGAUGCGUAGCCGAACUGAGAGGGUGAUCGGCCACACUGGAACUGAGACACGGUCCAGACUCCUACGGGAGGCAGCAGUAGGGAAUCUUCCGCAAUGGGCGAAAGCCUGACGGAGCAACGCCGCGUGAGUGAUGAAGGUCUUCGGAUCGUAAAACUCUGUUAUUAGGGAAGAACAAAUGUGUAAGUAACUAUGCACGUCUUGACGGUACCUAAUCAGAAAGCAACGGCUAACUACGUG
RNAcentral lists this ribosomal RNA (496 nucleotides) under uncultured bacterium. RNAcentral describes it as "partial 16S ribosomal RNA". It matches the Rfam family "Bacterial small subunit ribosomal RNA", at positions 29 to 507 of the family's 1533-position model. The record is from RNAcentral.